CCUACGGGAGGCAGCAGUGGGGAAUUUUGGACAAUGGGCGAAAGCCUGAUCCAGCCAUGCCGCGUGCAGGAUGAAGGCCUUCGGGUUGUAAACUGCUUUUGUACGGAACGAAACGGUCUCUUCUAAUAAAGGGGGCUAAUGACGGUACCGUAAGAAUAAGCACCGGCUAACUACGUGCCAGCAGCCGCGGUAAUACGUAGGGUGCAAGCGUUAAUCGGAAUUACUGGGCGUAAAGCGUGCGCAGGCGGUUAUAUAAGACAGUUGUGAAAUCCCCGGGCUCAACCUGGGAACUGCAUCUGUGACUGUAUAGCUAGAGUACGGUAGAGGGGGAUGGAAUUCCGCGUGUAGCAGUGAAAUGCGUAGAUAUGCGGAGGAACACCGAUGGCGAAGGCAAUCCCCUGGACCUGUACUGACGCUCAUGCACGAAAGCGUGGGGAGCAAACAGGAUUAGAUACCCUGGUAGUCCACGCCCUAAACGAUGUCAACUGGUUGUUGGGUCUUCACUGACUCAGUAACGAAGCUAACGCGUGAAGUUGACCGCCGUGGGAGGUACGGCCGCGAGGUAGUAACGUUAAAGUAAGUAGUAGACGNGAGAGAGACGACGACGACGACGACGGAGGAGGAGG
RNAcentral lists this ribosomal RNA (626 nucleotides) under uncultured bacterium. Its description in RNAcentral is "bacterial SSU rRNA". The stretch from base 1 to 542 matches the Rfam family "Bacterial small subunit ribosomal RNA", at positions 338 to 873 of the family's 1533-position model. The record is from RNAcentral.